GGAGAGGUGUCCGAGUCGGCCGAAGGAGCACGCCUGCUAAGCGUGUAUAUGGGGAACUGUAUCGAGAGUUCAAAUCUCUCCCUCUCCGCCA
RNAcentral lists this transfer RNA (91 nucleotides) under Desulfovibrio sp. OttesenSCG-928-G15. RNAcentral's name for it is "tRNA-Ser". It matches the Rfam family "tRNA". Rfam says of the family: Transfer RNA (tRNA) molecules are approximately 80 nucleotides in length. Their secondary structure includes four short double-helical elements and three loops (D, anti-codon, and T loops). Lineage: Bacteria; Pseudomonadati; Thermodesulfobacteriota; Desulfovibrionia; Desulfovibrionales; Desulfovibrionaceae. The record is from RNAcentral.